This 483-nucleotide ribosomal RNA is filed under the name uncultured bacterium. RNAcentral describes it as "partial 16S ribosomal RNA". It matches the Rfam family "Bacterial small subunit ribosomal RNA", at positions 29 to 523 of the family's 1533-position model. The record is from RNAcentral.
AGUGAACGCUGGCGGCGUGCUUAACACAUGCAAGACGAACGAGAACGGAUUAUAGCUUGCUAUAAUUGUAAGCUAAGUGGCGCACGGGUGAGUAAUGUAUAGGUAAUAUGCCUCUUACUAAGGGAUAACAAAUGGAAACGUUUGCUAAUACCUUAUACUCCUUAUUAACAUAAGUUAAUAAGGGAAAGAUUUAUUGGUAAGAGAUUAACCUGUACUGUAUCAGUUAGUUGGUGGGGAAUGGUUUACCAAGACUACGACACAUAACUGGUUUGGUGGCCUGGUCGGCCACACUGGAGUUGAGACACGUUCCAUACUCCUACUGGAGGCAGCAUUGGGGAAUAUUGCCGAAUGGACGAAAAUCUGAUGCAGCAUCGCCGCGUCGAGGAUGACACAUUUCGGUGCGUAAACUCCUUUUAUAUGAGAAGUUGAUUAUGGUAUUAUAUGCAUAAGCACCGGCUAACUCCCUUCAAGACGCCGCAGUAA